This 622-nucleotide long non-coding RNA is filed under the name Homo sapiens (human). RNAcentral's name for it is "non-protein coding lnc-EIF3A-5:1". The record is from RNAcentral. Lineage: Eukaryota; Metazoa; Chordata; Mammalia; Primates; Hominidae.
GUGGAUUUGCACAGCCCAAACUGCAAGUUGCUUAUUAUUUGAAAUCCAGUGGAUAUCUUGACCUACGUGGCUUGGAAGAUAAGUGGCUUUCCCAAAAACCGUGUUAUUGGAAGUGGUUGCAACCUGGAUUCGGCCCGAUUCCAUUACCCGACGGGGAAAGACUGGGAGUUCACCUAUUAAGCUGUCAUGGGUGGGUCCUUGGGGAACAUGGAGAUUCCAGUGUGCCUGUAUGGAGUGGAGUGAAUGUUGCUUGUGUCUUCCUGAAGAUUCUGCACCCAGAUUUAGGCACUGAUACAGAUAAGAAACAGUGGAAAGAGGUUCACAAGCAGGUGGUUGAGAAUGCUUACGAGGUGAUCAAACUCAAAGGCUACACAUCCUGGGCCAUUGGACUCUGUAGCAGAUUUGGUAGAGAGUAUAAUGAAGAAUCUUAGGCAGGUGCACCCAAUUCCCACCAUGAUUAAGGGUCUCUAUGGAAUAAAGGAUGAUGUCUUCCUUAGUGUUCCUUGCAUUUUGGGACAGAAUGGAAUCUCAGACCUUGUGAAGGUGACUCUGACUCCUGAGGAAGAGGCCCGUUUGAAGAAGCGUGCAGACACACUUUGGGGGAUCCGAAAAGAGCUGCAAU